This is a long non-coding RNA of Benincasa hispida (wax gourd), 594 nucleotides long. RefSeq lists it as uncharacterized. Lineage: Eukaryota; Viridiplantae; Streptophyta; Magnoliopsida; Cucurbitales; Cucurbitaceae. The record is from RefSeq and is a predicted model, not a curated record.
UGUUCUCCCCGUUCGAAUAUGAAGCUGUCAGAUCCGGAGGAGCCACCGCUCUUCAGCCGCGCGUCGCCCAUCUCAUAGUCACGCGUCGCCCAACCUCGACCCAGGCGCCGCUCAUCUGUCCAGCCUUGCAGACCUACGUGCCACAGCUGCUGUCGUUGUCGAGCUGCCGCCACGGGUCUGUCGAGUGGGUUUUCUUUCGUCACUGCUCUCAUCGGAUUCUUUAGAUUCUUGGAUAUGGAAGGAUUUUGAGGGGACCAAUCAAGUUUGAAGUUUAAGACCAAUUUCGGCAGAAAACUUGCUAAGGUAUCGCUUCAAGGCUAUGCUUGGCAGGAGGGGGAUAAGCUUACUUGAACUAAUUUGGAUUUACUUUUGAGGUAAGAGAAGGGACGCGCCGGCGAAUGACAAGCGGAAUUCGUGAUCGAGCCAUUGAGACUAGUUUUAAACUUCUACUCAUGAUAUUUAGAUUUCUUUUCACGUUUUUCAACUUUCAGUCUUGAUGUUUGAAAUUUACUGUUAAGAUUUGUUUUUAGACCUAUUUAUUAUCCCUUAUGAUUUAUGGGUACCCUAUCAUUUGUUUUUAAUAUAUGAAUUUAA